CCUUGCCGGUGACCUUGCCGGCCAGCCAGACGAUGCGGAUGCCCAAUGGUUCCAACCAGCUACGCAGAUUGGCGAGGUGCUGCUCGGCCAGCAAUUCGGUGGGCGCGGCAAGGGCGACCUGUUUGCCCUGCUCCACCGCCAACAUUGCCGCCAGUGCGGCGACCACGGUCUUGCCGCUGCCGACAUCGCCCUGUACCAGCCGCAGCAUCGGCGAGGCUUGCGCAAGGUCAUGCGCAAUCUGCUCGAACACGCGUU
This 255-nucleotide non-coding RNA is filed under the name Xanthomonas citri pv. fuscans. Lineage: Bacteria; Pseudomonadati; Pseudomonadota; Gammaproteobacteria; Lysobacterales; Lysobacteraceae. The record is from RNAcentral.